RNAcentral lists this ribosomal RNA (253 nucleotides) under uncultured bacterium. Its description in RNAcentral is "partial 16S ribosomal RNA". It matches the Rfam family "Bacterial small subunit ribosomal RNA", at positions 524 to 776 of the family's 1533-position model. The record is from RNAcentral.
GACGAAGGGGGCUAGCGUUGUUCGGAAUUACUGGGCGUAAAGCGCGUGUAGGCGGUUGUCCAAGUUGGAUGUGAAAGCCUUGAGCUUAACUCAAGAAAUGCAUUCAGGACUGGAUGACUAGAGGACCGGAGAGGAUAGUGGAAUUCCCAGUGUAGUGGUGAAAUACGUAGAGAUUGGGAAGAACACCAGUGGCGAAGGCGGCUAUCUGGACGGUUUCUGACGCUAAGACGCGAAAGCGUGGGGAUCGAACAGG